GUUUUAUCAAAAACAUUGCUUUUUGUUAAUUGUGUAAAAAGUAUUGCCUGCACCCUGAUUGUGAAUUAAAGAGCUGCGAUAAAUUAAUCGUACAAAGGUAGCAUAAUCAUUUGUUUUUUAAUUGAAGACUAGUAUGAAAGGUACUACGAAUAAUUAUUUGUCUUAGCAUAAAAAUUUGAAUUUGAUUUCUUCAUUAAAAAGUGGAGAUAAGAUUGAAAGACGAGAAGACCCUAUUGAGUUUUAUUUUUAUUAUUUAUUUUUAAUAUCAGUAAGGGUGAAUCGUAAAAAUUUUGCUGGGGCGGUAGAGGAAUAAGAGGAACUUCCUUUUUAUAAAUUAUUUAUUAAUAUAGGUUAAUCCAAUAAGAUUGAAUUAAUAAAAAAUUACCAUAGGGAUAAACAGCGUAAUUUCUUUGUAGAGUUCUUAUCGAUAAGGAAGUUUGCGACCUCGAUGUUGGGUUAGGAUGUCCAUUUAAUGUAAAGGUUAAGUUGUGAUGGUCUGUUCGACCAUUAAAUUCCUACAUGAUCUG
This 527-nucleotide ribosomal RNA is filed under the name Zephroniidae sp. Malaysia II. Its description in RNAcentral is "partial 16S ribosomal RNA". It matches the Rfam family "Bacterial large subunit ribosomal RNA", at positions 1802 to 2607 of the family's 2925-position model. The record is from RNAcentral. Lineage: Eukaryota; Metazoa; Arthropoda; Diplopoda; Sphaerotheriida; Zephroniidae.